CCCGGUGUGAAAAAAAUCCGAAGUGCCCGGCUUGGCUUACAAUGAUGACCAAGAUCGGAGAUGUUCAGGAGAUCACCGACGAAGGAAAUAGAGAAAAGAUCGGUUGCUUGUGCACGGGAGCGAUGGUGGAGGGAAUAGGAGUUCGACAUGGAGGGGAUUUCUAGUGAUGCGAUCUCUGACGAUGAUCUCCAGUGAAGAUGUAUCGAUGAUUACGAACGACAAUAGAGUGGGAUUAGGGCUUUCACG
This 246-nucleotide long non-coding RNA is filed under the name Elaeis guineensis (African oil palm). RNAcentral describes it as "long non-coding RNA (EGUI_LNC027418)". The record is from RNAcentral. Lineage: Eukaryota; Viridiplantae; Streptophyta; Magnoliopsida; Arecales; Arecaceae.